GCGGGAAGUGGCUUGCUACUUUGCCGGCGAGCGGCGGACGGGUGAGUAAUGUCUGGGAAACUGCCUGAUGGAGGGGGAUAACUACUGGAAACGGUAGCUAAUACCGCAUAACGUCGCAAGACCAAAGAGGGGGACCUUCGGGCCUCUUGCCAUCAGAUGUGCCCAGAUGGGAUUAGCUAGUAGGUGGGGUAACGGCUCACCUAGGCGACGAUCCCUAGCUGGUCUGAGAGGAUGACCAGCCACACUGGAACUGAGACACGGUCCAGACUCCUACGGGAGGCAGCAGUGGGGAAUAUUGCACAAUGGGCGCAAGCCUGAUGCAGCCAUGCCGCGUGUAUGAAGAAGGCCUUCGGGUUGUAAAGUACUUUCAGCGGGGAGGAAGGCGGUGAGGUUAAUAACCUCAUCGAUUGACGUUACCCGCAGAAGAAGCACCGGCUAACUCCGUGCCAGCAGCCGCGGUAAUACGGAGGGUGCAAGCGUUAAUCGGAAUUACUGGGCGUAAAGCGCACGCAGGCGGUCUGUCAAGUCGGAUGUGAAAUCCCCGGGCUCAACCUGGGAACUGCAUUCGAAACUGGCAGGCU
RNAcentral lists this ribosomal RNA (581 nucleotides) under Enterobacter sp. Its description in RNAcentral is "bacterial SSU rRNA". It matches the Rfam family "Bacterial small subunit ribosomal RNA", at positions 68 to 642 of the family's 1533-position model. The record is from RNAcentral. Lineage: Bacteria; Pseudomonadati; Pseudomonadota; Gammaproteobacteria; Enterobacterales; Enterobacteriaceae.